GCGCCGCUCCCCCACUUCUAUAGUGAGAACACCUCUUUAGUACUUCACGUGCAGAAUAUUGAACUGUUUUACUCAGUUAUAUUAAUAUAUGGAGUAUAUACAUGUAUGUAUACAUAUACAUAUACUAUAUACAUGUGUAUAACCCAUACAAAUAAGCAAAAAAAUACAAUAACCGUAAGAAACCCUUGAGAGAUAAAUAAUGAUAAAAGUUUGAAUAUAGCGUGCCUGGUCUGGAAUAAUAGGUGUGAAUAAUGUAGAGGGGUAAAGGGAACCUGUAUUAACGCUGUGCUAAGGUGUGAUGUAAUCUUUUUUAUUUAUUUAUUUAUUGCAAACAGACGCACUGCUGUUUCAAAACCUCAGUCUCAUUAGCUCUUAAGCGGCUGCAAUAUACAUGACAGUGAGACGAGCUGAUUCUGGACCAAACCAUUCAAUACACGAGAAGGGGGAGUGGAGGAGUGUUACACAUAGUUUUAAUAAUAAUAAUGACGGCGUUUUAAUCAUAUGUGUAUUAGUGUAUGAAACUGGUUGUGAAAAUAUGUACAGUAUUUGUUUAUUUAUUUAUCUUUAAUAUAGCUAUAAGUAUAGUUGCUUUACAAUAAUACCUCAAUAUCUGAGUGUCUGAAUUUGUAAUCAAUUGGUACACUUGUUUGACCUUUCAAAUACCGUACCUACUGGUGAUAAGCUGCGUUUUUGUUGAGUGUAUGGGGAAACUGGGACUGCAGGCGGCGUGGUAGGGUUGAGAGAGUCGGAGUGGGGCUGCUCAGAAGUUGAGAUCUGGCAACUGGUCCAUUGCAUCUACGAUGGUGCGUUCGUGUUAAUUGUUUGCCCAGUGUGAACCAGCCUUAAAGCCAACGUUGGGCCAACGCUAUGAUGUUUACUGGCGUUUGGCGCUUAUAUUUUCUUAUUCGCAUAAGUUUUAAGGAGCUUAAAAGUUGAGGUGGAAAAAAGCUUUGCUAUACCGGCUAUUUUGUGAAGUACUUGAUACAUUACUCUAAAUCAAGCCUCGAAUUGAUGGGGAACAGAAGGGAACUGCAUUCCCAGCGAUUUCAACAGCAACUAUAGAAAAUCUAAGAAUCAGCUUCAGCAACCAUGGACUACCAGAGAUGGUAGUGUCUGACAAUGGAACUCCUUUCGUCAGUGCAGAAUUUAAAGAGUUCAUGAGUCGGAAUGGAAUCAGUCACGUGACUUCUGCCCCAUAUCAUCUAUCUUCCAAUGGAUUAGCUGAACAUGCCGUACAGAGAUUUAAAGAGUGCAUGAAGAAGGCAUCGGGAGGCACCCUGGAAACAAAAGUAUCUCAUGCCUUGUUUAGCUACAGAGUAACACCUCAAUCUACUACAGGUCGGAAACUGAGAGCCACACUUGACCUGCUAUAUCCUGAUCUCAAAAGACAAAUACAACAGAGACAGUUAAAGAAAGGAAAACCACGAUAAGCAUGUAAAAAAAACAAAGUUUUUUGACAGUAUAUUUCAGUCAUGGUCCACAGUGGAUACCUGCAACUGUUCAAGAAGUGACGGUCCCAGUUUCCUGUACACUGUUGUUAGGAGAUGGCAGAUUGGUGCGCCGUCACGUUGAACAAAUCUACAGGAGACAGGACGAGCCAGAUAGAUCUGCAGUGGAAGAGUUGGAGAAUCCAGCUGAAAGAGACACUCAUACAUGUACAUUCCAGUCCGGUGGGGUUACAAAAAAACUCUUAAGUGGUGCUGCUGGCACUGAAGAAACAUCUUCCAGUCCUGAUAGGGCUACCGCUGAGGUGGUACCAUCCGCGCCAGAAACUAAGGAAGGGGCAUCGCCAACCGUGCCUGGUACUUCAUCACCUGUAAAUCGUUCUUUAAAAAAACAGGACAUAUGAUGGUUCCAGCAAAGAAGAUGGCUGCUUUGUUUGGAGUUGCAAAUAAAAGUUAAUCUUUAAUUGGUAA
Long non-coding RNA from Acipenser ruthenus (sterlet), 1916 nucleotides. RefSeq lists it as uncharacterized. The transcript has 2 exons. The record is from RefSeq and is a predicted model, not a curated record. Lineage: Eukaryota; Metazoa; Chordata; Actinopteri; Acipenseriformes; Acipenseridae.